UUUAAAUCACACUUCGCGUGUUUUCAAGUCAGCGUGUGACAGAAACAGCUGGGAUUUUUAGCUCAGUGUAUAUUUUUGACGGUCACUCACGGGAAACGUCACUUGCAAAAUCGAAUGUAUUUCCGAAGAAGAAUACAAGAAGAAUCUAUAAUCAUAACAACAAGUAGGUGGAAAUGUUGAAAUGAAGGAAAAAUUUCAAUAUUGAAGGUUUUCGAUGUAAACGAACUGAUGGUGGCUGUUGAUCCUUAAGUUCCUGCUAAAACUGCGGUGGAAAAAUAUCUGGAAAUGGUGGAAAACUUCAAAAAUCUUCAGCUCUUCGCAUCAACAACCCACAGAGGCCGGGAUGGAAGGAAAUAACAAAGAACGCGAUUACAGGUGAGUUUAAGUAUCGUUGCAAAUCAAGAGUGGUAACUUUUGGUGUUUUUUGUUUUGUUUUGUUUUUCUUUUCAGGUACCUGGUUUUAAGUCUGCUGCAGAAAAGACACCAAUCGACUUUCCAGAGGUGUCUGCUAAUUCGUACGAGCUGGUUCCUAGCCUAGCCAGGACCGUACAAGGGAGAUAACACGGACCGAGUUUGGCAUUAUAUUUGCCGAUUGCUGACGAUUGACGGAAAUUCCUCUUGAAGACCUUCUGGCCUACAUCAUAAACCGGAGCAGGAGUUUUAUAACGCAGAUUGUAAGUUUUUGCAUUUUUUUCAUAAUUUUUCUUUAUGUUUUUAGAAACGAUGUCGCGAAUAAAUUGGU
This is a long non-coding RNA of Uranotaenia lowii, 742 nucleotides long. RefSeq lists it as uncharacterized. Lineage: Eukaryota; Metazoa; Arthropoda; Insecta; Diptera; Culicidae. The transcript has 3 exons. The record is from RefSeq and is a predicted model, not a curated record.